This 454-nucleotide ribosomal RNA is filed under the name Dictyocaulus viviparus (bovine lungworm). RNAcentral describes it as "partial large subunit ribosomal RNA". Lineage: Eukaryota; Metazoa; Nematoda; Chromadorea; Rhabditida; Metastrongylidae. The record is from RNAcentral.
GGUUCGAGUAUGAAUGAAGUUUUAAUAAUUUUUUUUAUUAAUUUUAUAAUGAAUUUUUUUUAUAAAUAAAAAAUUUUGUUUUUAUUUUUGCAAAGAUAAGUCUUCGUAAAUUCUUUUUAAUUUUUUUUUUAAAAAAAAAAUUAAAGUUUUCUAGGGUAGAAUUUUUUGUAUGUAUAUUUUUCUAUUAUUAGUUUAGAGAAUUACUUCGGAGUUAACAGAAAUUCAUAUUUUAUCUAGUUCUUAUAGUAAAGUAAGUUUUACAUCGGUGUUGUAUUUAUAUUGUUUGGGAGGUAGAAUGUUCAAUAUUUAAGACUGUUCUUCUUUUUAAUAUAACGUGAUAUUAGUUUAAUUCAUCGUGAGAUAGAAUUGUUUAUCUUGAAAAAUAAUUUUUUUUUUUUAGGUUUUUAGUACGAAAGGAAAAAUAGUUGAAGUUAAAAACUUUAUGAUUGUACGG